RNAcentral lists this ribosomal RNA (332 nucleotides) under uncultured Acidobacteriota bacterium. Its description in RNAcentral is "bacterial SSU rRNA". It matches the Rfam family "Bacterial small subunit ribosomal RNA", at positions 568 to 898 of the family's 1533-position model. The record is from RNAcentral. Lineage: Bacteria; Pseudomonadati; Acidobacteriota.
UUCGUAGGUGGCCAACUAAGUCAGACGUGAAAUCCCUCAGCUUAACUGGGGAACUGCGUCUGAUACUGGUUGGCUUGAGUGCAGGAGAGGAACGCGGAAUUCCAGGUGUAGCGGUGAAAUGCGUAGAUAUCUGGAGGAACACCGGUGGCGAAGGCGGCGUUCUGGACUGCAACUGACACUGAGGAACGAAAGCCAGGGGAGCAAACGGGAUUAGAUACCCCGGUAGUCCUGGCCCUAAACGAUGAAUGCUUGGUGUGGCGGGUAUCGAUCCCUGCCGUGCCGAAGUUAACGCGAUAAGCAUUCCGCCUGGGGAGUACGGUCGCAAGGCUGAA